UACGUAGGGGGCAAGCGUUAUCCGGAUUUAUUGGGUUUAAAGGGUGCGCAGGCGGCCUGUUAAGUCAGCGGUAAAAGCCCGGGGCUCAACCCCGGCGAGCCGUUGAAACUGGCGGGCUGGAGUUGGAGAGAAGUACGCGGAAUGCGCGGUGUAGCGGUGAAAUGCAUAGAUAUCGCGCAGAACUCCGAUUGCGAAGGCAGCUCACUGGACUGCAACUGACACUGAGGCUCGAAAGUGUGGGUAUCAAACAGG
RNAcentral lists this ribosomal RNA (252 nucleotides) under uncultured Bacteroidales bacterium. RNAcentral's name for it is "partial 16S ribosomal RNA". It matches the Rfam family "Bacterial small subunit ribosomal RNA", at positions 524 to 776 of the family's 1533-position model. The record is from RNAcentral. Lineage: Bacteria; Pseudomonadati; Bacteroidota; Bacteroidia; Bacteroidales.